Molecule: ribosomal RNA, 182 nt
Filed under: uncultured bacterium
Lineage: Bacteria
Description: partial 16S ribosomal RNA
Rfam family: Bacterial small subunit ribosomal RNA
Source: RNAcentral
CAUGAAGCUGGAAUCGCUAGUAAUCGCGGAUCAGAAUGCCGCGGUGAAUACGUUCCCGGGUCUUGUACACACCGCCCGUCACACCAUGGGAGUUGGAAAUGCCCGAAGUCAGUGGCCCAACCGCAAGGAGGGAGCUGCCGAAGGCAGGUCCGGUAACCGGGGUGAAGUCGUAACAAGGUAGC